GACGAACGCUGGCGGCGUGCUUAACACAUGCAAGUCGAACGGAAAGGCCCUGCUUUUGUGGGGUGCUCGAGUGGCGAACGGGUGAGUAACACGUGAGUAACCUGCCCUUGACUUUGGGAUAACUUCAGGAAACUGGGGCUAAUACCGGAUAGGAGCUCCUGCUGCAUGGUGGGGGUUGGAAAGUUUCGGCGGUUGGGGAUGGACUCGCGGCUUAUCAGCUUGUUGGUGGGGUAGUGGCUUACCAAGGCUUUGACGGGUAGCCGGCCUGAGAGGGUGACCGGCCACAUUGGGACUGAGAUGCGGCCCAGACGCCUACGGUAGGCAGCAGUGGGGAAUAUUGCACAAUGGGCGGAAGCCUGAUGCAGCAACGCCGCGUGCGGGAUGACGGCCUUCGGGUUGUAAACCGCUUUCGCCUGGGACGAAGCGUGAGUGACGGUAAUGGGUAAAGAAGCACCGGCUAACUACGUG
This 468-nucleotide ribosomal RNA is filed under the name uncultured bacterium. RNAcentral describes it as "partial 16S ribosomal RNA". It matches the Rfam family "Bacterial small subunit ribosomal RNA", at positions 28 to 507 of the family's 1533-position model. The record is from RNAcentral.